CCUCCGUGUGGCAGCAGUGAGGAAUCUUGGUCAAUGGGCGCGAGCCUGAACCAGCCAAGUAGCGUGAAGGAUGACUGCCCUACGGGUUGUAAACUUCUUUUAUAAAGGAAUAAAGUGAGGCACGUGUGCCUUUUUGUAUGUCCUUUAUGAAUAAGGAUCGGCUAACUCCGUGCCAGCAGCCGCGGUACUACGGAGGAACCGAGCGUUAUACGGAUUUAUUGGGUUUAAAGGGAGCGUAGAUGGGUUGUUAAGUCAGUUGUUAAAGUUUGCGGCGCAACCGUAAAAUUGCAAUUGAUACUGGCAGCCUUGAGUACAGUUGAGGUAGGCGGAAUGCGUGGUGUAGCGGUGAAAUGCUUAGAUAUCACGAAGAACUCCGAUUGCGAAGGCAGCUUACUAAACUGCCACUGACAUUGAUGCUCGAAAGUGUGGGUAUCAAACAGGAUUAGAUACCCCAGUAGUC
This 460-nucleotide ribosomal RNA is filed under the name uncultured bacterium. RNAcentral describes it as "partial 16S ribosomal RNA". It matches the Rfam family "Bacterial small subunit ribosomal RNA", at positions 338 to 795 of the family's 1533-position model. The record is from RNAcentral.